UUGGAGGGCAAGUCUGGUGCCAGCAGCCGCGGUAAUUCCAGCUCCAAUAGCGUAUAUUAAAGUUGUUGCAGUUAAAAAGCUCGUAGUUGAAUUUCGGGAUCAAUAUGUCAGUCGUGCCUUCGGUACGUACUAGUAUUAUUGGUUUCUCCUUUCUGACGGACCAUGAUGCCAUUAAUUUGGUGUUAUGGGGAAUUAGGACUGUUACUUUGAAAAAAUUAGAGUGUUUAAAGCAGGCUUUUAGCUUGAAUACAUUAGCAUGGAAUAAUGAAAUAGGACGUUCGAACCUAUUUUGUUGGUUUCUAGGAUCAACGUAAUGAUUAAUAGGGAUAGAUGGGGGCAUUAGUAUUCAAUUGUCAGAGGUGAAAUUCUUGGAUUUAUUGAAGACUAACUACUGCGAAAGCAUUUGCCAAGGAUGUUUUCAUUAAUCAAGAACGAAAGUUAGGGGAUCGAAGACGAUCAGAUACCGUCGUAGUCUUAACCAUAAACUAUGCCGACUAGGGAUCGGAUGAUGUUAAUUUUUUAAUGACUCAUUCGGCGCCUUACGGGAAAC
This 550-nucleotide ribosomal RNA is filed under the name uncultured Glomeromycotina. RNAcentral's name for it is "SSU rRNA". It matches the Rfam family "Eukaryotic small subunit ribosomal RNA", at positions 548 to 1098 of the family's 1831-position model. The record is from RNAcentral. Lineage: Eukaryota; Fungi; Glomeromycota.